GUGUCUGUAGCUCAGCUGGAUAGAGCAACGGCCUUCUAAGCCGUGGGUCGAAGGUUCGAAUCCUUUCAGGCACG
This 74-nucleotide transfer RNA is filed under the name Cuneatibacter caecimuris. It matches the Rfam family "tRNA". From Rfam's summary of the family: Transfer RNA (tRNA) molecules are approximately 80 nucleotides in length. The record is from Rfam by way of RNAcentral. Lineage: Bacteria; Bacillati; Bacillota; Clostridia; Lachnospirales; Lachnospiraceae.